GAUGAACGCUGGCGGCGUGCCUAACACAUGCAAGUCGAACGGAGUCCAGCCUUUAAGACCUUCGGGUCAAAGAGGGGAAGACUGAGUGGCGGACGGGUGAGUAACACGUGGGCAACCUGGCUCAUAGAGGGGGAUAACAGAGAGAAAUUUCUGCUAAUACCGCAUAAGCACACACUGCCGCAUGGCAGAGGGUGAAAAGAGAAUCGCUAUGAGAUGGAGCCGCGUCUGAUUAGCCAGUUGGCAGGGUAAGAGCCUACCAAAGCGACGAUCAGUAGCCGAUCUGAGAGGAUGAACGGCCACAUUGGGACUGAGACACGGCCCAAACUCCUACGGGAGGCAGCAGUGGGGGAUAUUGCACAAUGGGGGGAACCCUGAUGCAGCGACGCCGCGUGAGUGAAGAAGUAUUUCGGUAUGUAAAGCUCUAUCAGCAGGGAAGAUAAUGACAGUACCUGAAUAAGAAGCCCCGGCUAACUACGUG
This 478-nucleotide ribosomal RNA is filed under the name uncultured bacterium. RNAcentral describes it as "partial 16S ribosomal RNA". It matches the Rfam family "Bacterial small subunit ribosomal RNA", at positions 28 to 507 of the family's 1533-position model. The record is from RNAcentral.